UCUACGCCACUCCACCUGCCAAGUCCAGUUCAGCGGCCGGUCUCCCGCCGCCGACGGUUGCCUCCCGCCAUGAGUAACAAUCCAGACGCCUGCGAUCCAUCUCCGGUGGUUACGUCCUCAUCGUCAUCGUGUAAUCACCCCAUGACCACCACAUCUCGCCAUUGCUUCGGAAAUUCAACCGAAGGUUCUGAUUCCUUCUGCAUCACCAUCAUUGAGAGUAUGAAGGAAGACUACGGGUUGUUUGUGUGGCCGUGUAGUAUUGUUCUUGCUGAGUAUGUUUGGCAACAAAGAUUGCGCUUUUCCGGGGUUAGCGUAGUUGAGCUUGGAGCCGGGACUUCUUUACCGGGGUUAGUUGCCGCGAAAGUGGGCUCGGAUGUCACCCUAACUGAUGAUGUAAACAAACCAGAGGUGCUGGCUAACAUGAGAAGAGUGUCAGAUCUAAACAAUCUCAAUUGUAAUGUAAUGGGACUGACAUGGGGCGUGUGGGAUGCUGAUAUCUUCAGUAUACAUCCCAAAAUUAUCCUUGGUGCUGAUGUUUUGUACGACACAAGUGCCUUUGAUGAUCUCUUUGCCACUGUGGCAUUUCUGCUCCAAAAUUCUCCAGGAUCUGUUUUCAUAACAACCUAUCACAAUAGAAGCGGGCACCAUCUAAUUGAGUUCUUGAUGGCGAAGUGGGGGUUGAAGUGCAUUAAACUUCUUGAUGGCUUCUCGUUUAUGCCAUCCACCAAAGCAUCUGGUCUAAGUGGCAAUAUUCAAUUGGCAGAAAUUGUUUUGAAUACUUAACUGUUGAGAAUCCAGUACUAGAAAGUAUCUAUACAUUACAUAGAAUGUUCGAGUUCCUACAGUGGUGUGGACAUUCUUUACGGUAAGUUCAGGGCCCCGUAAUUGACCACCCUGCAGUCCUUUCUGAGCUCCUGUCCUCCACGGAUGCUGCUCAUCUUGAUCAUGGAAUUCACAAAAGCCUUGUAGAAAGCUUCUUGCGAGCUGGCAAACUUGGAAACCAGAUCUUUUGUAUUGGGAGAAGUAAGCAAAGCUUGGUCUGAAGAAAACACCUCACAUAUUGUGAGGAGGCCAGCCUUGCUUAUGCUUCUCAAAAUCUGCCAAUCCGAAGCCGAAAUUGUUGAGACGUCUGUUCUCACUUCAAAUGGGUUAUCACUGAUCAUUACUCUUCCUGAUGACUCCUUCUUGGGAUCUGUGAAGUUGCAAUGAAUCUUCUCUUCCUCUUCUCACAAUAAGAGCCAGAAGGAGUUAUGGAAUUCCUUCCCAAGCCAAGAAGACUCGAGGCUUUAGUCAAUUUUCUAGAAAACAACAAAAGAGACCUUGUACAAAUGGCUGCAGCUGGUGUACUAGCCAAUACACUCACUCACCAAGAAACGCAUAGAACUACAUUUUGCAUGGUUAAAGCAAACGUGGGUCCUAAAUGGUCUUUCUUUUGAGGGAAGUGGUGGAGGCUUUUCUGACGGGUUGCAGUGUAAAUGAGGGUGGGAAGAUUCAAAUGAAGGUGGCGACCAUUUUGGCUAUGGUCCAAUGUAAUUCAAGAUUGUCGAGAUCUCUGGUUUAUGGGCUAAGCAGAUGAGAAAUCCUGGUGAUUUCAAGGGGAUAGAACUCAGUAAAUUGGAUCAGGUACUGCUGUGCGCUUAGUUGUGCAUCCCAUUUCUGUUGCAGCUGAGAAUGGGGAAGGCUUGGCUUGAAUUGCACGUGGCAACCUAGCGCAAUGCAUGGAAGUCAAAUUUGGAUUCUUCGAGCUGCUUCAGCUCAGCUGAAGCUGCAUUAGUGCAAAUUAGUUAGUUAGCUAAUUCUUGUAUGUGGUGUAUGGUGGAGAGUGGUUAGGGUGCAAGGAUCGGUUAAUUGUAUUGUAAAGAAUUGGAACGAGAGUUCCCUUGUACUGUUCCAUUGGUUUAAUAAAGAACUCCAUUUCUGUUC
RNA transcript from Rhododendron vialii, 1923 nucleotides. RefSeq lists it as uncharacterized. The transcript is spliced from 9 exons. Lineage: Eukaryota; Viridiplantae; Streptophyta; Magnoliopsida; Ericales; Ericaceae. The record is from RefSeq and is a predicted model, not a curated record.